GAUGAACGCUGGCGGCGCGCCUAAUACAUGCAAGCCGAGCGAACGGACGAGAAGCUUGCUUCUCUGAUGUUAGCGGCGGACGGGUGAGUAACACGUGGAUAACCUACCUAUAAGACUGGGAUAACUUCGGGAAACCGGAGCUAAUACCGGAUAAUAUUUUGAACCGCAUGGUUCAAAAGUGAAAGACGGUCUUGCUGUCACUUAUAGAUGGAUCCGCGCUGCAUUAGCUAGUUGGUAAGGUAACGGCUUACCAAGGCAACGAUGCAUAGCCGACCUGAGAGGGUGAUCGGCCACACUGGAACUGAGACACGGUCCAGACUCCUACGGGAGGCAGCAGUAGGGAAUCUUCCGCAAUGGGCGAAAGCCUGACGGAGCAACGCCGCGUGAGUGAUGAAGGUCUUCGGAUCGUAAAACUCUGUUAUUAGGGAAGAACAUAUGUGUAAGUAACUGUGCACAUCUUGACGGUACCUAAUCAGAAAGCCACGGCUAACUACGUG
Molecule: ribosomal RNA, 497 nt
Filed under: uncultured bacterium
Lineage: Bacteria
Description: partial 16S ribosomal RNA
Rfam family: Bacterial small subunit ribosomal RNA
Source: RNAcentral